RNAcentral lists this ribosomal RNA (53 nucleotides) under Pestalotiopsis sydowiana. Its description in RNAcentral is "partial 28S ribosomal RNA". The record is from RNAcentral. RNAcentral also lists the same sequence under 1 other name. Lineage: Eukaryota; Fungi; Ascomycota; Sordariomycetes; Amphisphaeriales; Sporocadaceae.
UUUUUUGUGGUUGACCUCGGAUCAGGUAGGAAUACCCGCUGAACUUAAGCAUA